UACGAAGGGGGCUAGCGUUGCUCGGAAUUACUGGGCGUAAAGCGCACGUAGGCGGAUCUUUAAGUCAGGGGUGAAAUCCUGGAGCUCAACUCCAGAACUGCCUUUGAUACUGAGGACCUUGAGUUCGGGAGAGGUGAGUGGAACUGCGAGUGUAGAGGUGAAAUUCGUAGAUAUUCGCAAGAACACCAGUGGCGAAGGCGGCUCACUGGGCCGAUACUGACGCUGAGGAGCGAAAGCGUGGGGAGCGAACAGG
Molecule: ribosomal RNA, 253 nt
Filed under: uncultured bacterium
Lineage: Bacteria
Description: partial 16S ribosomal RNA
Rfam family: Bacterial small subunit ribosomal RNA
Source: RNAcentral